UCGGGAAUUUUGGGCAAUGGGGGCAACCCUGACCCAGCAACGCCGCGUGAAGGAUGAAGUCCUUCGGGAUGUAAACUUCGAAAGAAUGGGAAGAAGCAAAUGACGGUACCAUUUGUAAGCCCCGGCUAACUCCGUGCCAGCAGCCGCGGUAAUACGGAGGGGGCAAGCGUUGUUCGGAUUUACUGGGCGUAAAGGGCGCGUAGGCGGCCCCGCAAGUUACUUGUGAAAUCUUGAGGCUUAACCUCAAGCGGCCAAGUAAUACUGCGAGGCUCGAGUGCAGAAGGGGCAACUGGAAUUCUUGGUGUAGCGGUGAAAUGCGUAGAUAUCAAGAGGAACACCGGAGGCGAAGGCGGGUUGCUGGGCUGACACUGACGCUGAGGCGCGAAAGCUAGGGGAGCAA
This 400-nucleotide ribosomal RNA is filed under the name uncultured bacterium. RNAcentral's name for it is "bacterial SSU rRNA". It matches the Rfam family "Bacterial small subunit ribosomal RNA", at positions 355 to 771 of the family's 1533-position model. The record is from RNAcentral.